AUAUAUAUAUGUAUACAUGUGAUAUUUCAAAUAAGGUUGAAUGGAUUAGGAACAAGGGAGCAUUCAUUAUUGAAAAGUUUAACACUUUUAAUAAUAUUGAAUUAUGCUCAUAUUUUGUUUUCUAAACUUGAUAGUAACGUGGUUUAAAAGGCUUUGAUUCAUUCCACAAAAAUGGAGUGUGUAUAAUCAUUUUUUAAGUACGAUAUUUUAAAAUCACUGUAGUAGACUGUUUCAUACCAAUCGAAAUUAUGUAUUCCUAAUAUAAGACU
RNAcentral lists this long non-coding RNA (269 nucleotides) under Physcomitrium patens. RNAcentral describes it as "long non-coding RNA (PPAT_LNC012071)". Lineage: Eukaryota; Viridiplantae; Streptophyta; Bryopsida; Funariales; Funariaceae. The record is from RNAcentral.